ACGGAGGGUGCAAGCGUUAUCCGGAUUUACUGGGUUUAAAGGGUGUGUAGGCGGGCUUUUAAGUCAGUGGUGAAAUCUCCGGGCUCAACCUGGAAACUGCCAUUGAUACUAUUAGUCUUGAAUUUUGUUGAGGUAGGCGGAAUAAGUCAUGUAGCGGUGAAAUGCAUAGAUAUGACUUAGAACACCAAUUGCGAAGGCAGCUUGCUAAACAAAUAUUGACGCUGAGGCACGAAAGCGUGGGGAUCAAACAGGA
Molecule: ribosomal RNA, 253 nt
Filed under: uncultured prokaryote
Description: partial 16S ribosomal RNA
Rfam family: Bacterial small subunit ribosomal RNA
Source: RNAcentral